ACUGAGAUUCUCCGAUAACGGAAGAGCGGGACCUCGAUUAUUGCGGGACAUCGGGCCUGGGAGAUUUUGCAGUAGUAGAGGUAACCGACGUAACUAACGAUAGCUUCGGUUGCAUAGUGUUUACGUAAUACCUAUAGUCGGUGGCGAAUUAUGCAGAGAAACAGACGAUUAUUAUGGAUUCGGGACGAUUUUGCGUCGAGGGGAUAUUAGGCUUUUAAAUCAGAUCCUCAAGGUGGCCUGGAACAACGCGGGGAUUCUUGAUUUACGCGGGGAUACCGGAGGCGUUUCGCCGACCAGGGAAAUCGAAGAGGCAGCGAGCGAGCCUCUUAUCCUAAGCAAACAGUGUUAGAUAUUCCGAAAUUCUGAUUGGUCCGUGGAAACGUUGGUCAGACAGGCACCAUUUUGCAGAGAAAAGACCGAGGACAGCUUUACACAGGGGCGAAUUUAGAGCCAACGCUUGAAACACGCCGGAGGUUGGCUCACUGUGUGGUAAAA
This is a long non-coding RNA of Hylaeus volcanicus, 495 nucleotides long. RefSeq lists it as uncharacterized. The transcript is spliced from 3 exons. NCBI's taxonomy places the organism in Eukaryota, Metazoa, Arthropoda, Insecta, Hymenoptera, Colletidae. The record is from RefSeq and is a predicted model, not a curated record.